Molecule: ribosomal RNA, 431 nt
Filed under: uncultured bacterium
Lineage: Bacteria
Description: partial 16S ribosomal RNA
Rfam family: Bacterial small subunit ribosomal RNA
Source: RNAcentral
AACGAACGCUGGCGGCAGGCUUAACACAUGCAAGUCGAGCGCCCCGCAAGGGUGGCGGCACACGGGUGAGUAACGCGUAAGGACUUAGCUUUUGGUUAGUAACAACUCCGGGACACUGGGGCUAAUACGGGAUACGGCGUCAAGUGGUAAGAUUUAUAGCCGAAAGCUCGGCCCUGUGCUGAUUGGGUAGUUGGUGAGGUGACGGCACACCAAGGCGACGAUCAUUAGCUGGGCGGAGAGGAUGAUCAGCUACACUGGGACUACGACACGGCCCAGGCUCCUACGCGAGGCAGCAGUGGGUAAUAUUGUACGCUGGGGGCAAGCCUGACCCCGCCAUGUCGGGUGAGUGAUGAAGGCCUUAGGGUUGUAAAGCCAUUUUGGACGGGAAGAUAGUGACGGUACCGGAAGAAGAAGCCCCGGCUAACUACGUG